Molecule: ribosomal RNA, 723 nt
Filed under: uncultured bacterium
Lineage: Bacteria
Description: bacterial SSU rRNA
Rfam family: Bacterial small subunit ribosomal RNA
Source: RNAcentral
UCUGCCGUGAAAACCCGAGGCUCAACCUCGGGCGUGCGGUGGGUACGGGCAGGCUAGAGUGUGGUAGGGGAGACUGGAACUCCUGGUGUAGCGGUGAAAUGCGCAGAUAUCAGGAAGAACACCGAUGGCGAAGGCAGGUCUCUGGGCCAUUACUGACACUGAGAAGCGAAAGCAUGGGUAGCGAACAGGAUUAGAUACCCUGGUAGUCCAUGCCGUAAACGUUGGGCACUAGGUGUGGGGGACAUUCCACGUUUUCCGCGCCGUAGCUAACGCAUUAAGUGCCCCGCCUGGGGAGUACGGCCGCAAGGCUAAAACUCAAAGGAAUUGACGGGGGCCCGCACAAGCGGCGGAGCAUGCUGAUUAAUUCGAUGCAACGCGAAGAACCUUACCAAGGCUUGACAUGCACUGGACGGCUGCAGAGAUGUGGCUUUCUUUGGACUGGUGCACAGGUGGUGCAUGGUUGUCGUCAGCUCGUGUCGUGAGAUGUUGGGUUAAGUCCCGCAACGAGCGCAACCCUCGUUCUAUGUUGCCAGCACGUGAUGGUGGGGACUCAUAGGAGACUGCCGGGGUCAACUCGGAGGAAGGUGGGGACGACGUCAAAUCAUCAUGCCCCUUAUGUCUUGGGCUUCAAGCAUGCUACAAUGGUCGGUACAAUGGGUUGCGAAACUGUGAGGUGGAGCGAAUCCCAAAAAGCCGGCCUCAGUUCGGAUUGGGGUCUGCAAC